Small nucleolar RNA from Bombina bombina (fire-bellied toad), 90 nucleotides. RefSeq annotates it as small nucleolar RNA SNORD70. The transcript has a single exon. NCBI's taxonomy places the organism in Eukaryota, Metazoa, Chordata, Amphibia, Anura, Bombinatoridae. The record is from RefSeq and is a predicted model, not a curated record.
UGAGUUGUUGCCAGUGAUGGAUUUUUUUUACAGAUGAAACCAAAUGAUUAUAUUGAAACUUUUCGUCACUACCACUGAGGCAACACUGUU